UGGAUUUGACAUCUCGGGAAUUUUUAUGAAAGUAGAAAGUGCCUCUUUGAGGAGCCUGAAGAC
This 63-nucleotide ribosomal RNA is filed under the name uncultured bacterium. RNAcentral's name for it is "partial 16S ribosomal RNA". The record is from RNAcentral.